AGAGAUUGGAAGCCCACACUCCAGGAAAGUCACAAGAGGCUCUAGGAAAAGAACAGCGGUGGAAGAAUCUUGUAGAUAAAGAACGAUAACAGAAAUCACUGCCCAGGAGGACUGGAAGGAAAUAAGACAAAAUGCUGCCUUUAGAUGUCUGGCCAGGAAGAAGAUCUACAUGUUCUUGAAAACAUCACAGGAGAAAUAAAUGUGAAAGAACAUCAGGGGAAGAUGGACUCAUGUCUUGGAGUAAGAUCUUGCAACUUUGUCAUUUUGUAGUUUGUGUCUCUUGGUGGAGGAGAUUCCAUCCACAGCCAGUGGUGGUGACCCAACACUGUUGGGCCAUUCCUGGUUCCCUUGCUGUGAGUGUGACACAGGGUGCUGGUCCGCUCUGGCUGAAGGGAAGAGGGUCAUGAAUGGAGAGCAAGGGGAGGCAGAAGGGUGGGCCAGUGGGAUCCGGGAGAGCCCCAAGGAGCUGGGCAACCAAAGCCAAGAGGAGCACACCAACUGCCCAUGGGCUAAGGUCAGAAGUCUGGGGAAGCAAAAAAAAAAAAAAAAAAAAAAAAACAAAAAAAAAACGGGGGUUCAGCAAGGGGCACACGGAUACUCAAAGCAGAGGGGAAAUUCUACUUAUGGACCUUCAUGGCAUUCCAAAAUUAGUUAACCCCUGGGAGAGGCUAAAUAUUGAGUUUUUCUCCCUGUCCCUCUGGCCAACUGUCUUUUUUACGGGUCCCCGUUAGCCCCAUUAUAGCUCAACCCACCUCAUUCCUUUCCAUUCUGUUCACCCCACUCUGUGCCAAGCGCUGCUUGGCGACACCAGAGGACUGUGUGUUGGGAUAAGGAAGAAACAAGGUAAACGUAUUAUAUGACUAGUGCUGUCCUUUGGGCAGGGGCAACAUGGUAGCUGAUGGGCUGAGGCAGGCAGGAAAGGCUUCCAGAGGAGCAGGUACUGAGCUGGGUCCUCAAGGACACUGUGAGCAGCUUCCCAGCACAUCUGAGAGAGGAGGGCGAUUUCUGGAAAAUACAUAAGAGUGACGGAUGCCCCUGCCAUGCUCCUGGUGGAUGUCAGCUUCUGAAUUGCAGGUGUGUUCAGAGGAGAUCUGGGGCCAUGAGGCUACCACACAGGUGGAGUGGCCUCCAAAGGGCAUUGACUGACCUGCUGAGGGAUCUGUAAUGAGGGGGAGAGACAGGUCUGAUUUGAACUUGGCAGUGGGUGUCCAUGUGGGACAAUAUGGAGAGGUACCUCUGUUAUCCUCGGUAUUGUGUCUUCAUUUGGGGGAGAAGAAAUUCUAAAUUUAUCAUUUAAUCAGAUGACUUUAGAAAAGUAGCUAUCUAGGUGCUGAGAAAAUUAGUUCAUUCAUUCAUACUUCAUUUAUUCAUUCAAAACAAUUCUUGUACCUCAGUUUAUAUUUCCUACUGCUUAAAUUUCUGUGGUGUCUACACAGAUUGUUAAGGCAUUGUUCUAAUCUCAAGAACCUUAAAAACAGAAGGAGGGGAAGGUGAGGACUAACCCCAUGGUGUUAACCCAUAAACUGAGCUGGUCACAUCACCACCUCACCACUACUUAAAAUGUCCCAGUGGGUUUCUAUUUCUCUCAGGAAAAGUACAAACUUUUAUCCAGGCCAAAACAUCCCUCUAUGGCCUCACCUCCUGAGACCCAUCUCCUAGCACCUCCCUUCUUUUCCCUCCAUGCCAGCCUCAUUGUCCUUCUUUAUGUGGUCCUUACCAGACUGUCUUCAACCACAGGCCCCUAACACAUGUUGUUCCCUCUACCACUGUCAUCUCCCUGGGUUCAUGUGCACUCAUCCUUCUAAGUGCACAUCAAUGCUGCUUCCUCGGGGUAGGCUUUCCUGGUCUAUUUAAAUUGACUCCGACCUUAGUACACAACUCAUACUCCAUAUAACAUCCUUCAUAAGUCUUAUCCCAGUCACAAGAAUUUUUCAUUUAUGUACAUGAUAACUUUAUUAAUAUCUGUAUUCACCAGACUGUAAGCUCCAUGAGAACAAGGGCUGUGUCUUUCCAAAAAAUCAACUUUACUGAGGCAUAAUUUUUGUACAACAAACACACCCACUUCACACGCACAUUUCAAUGAGUGUUGACAAAUUUACACAAAAAUGGUUUCACUGUGUAACCACCAACAUGGUCAAGAUGUGGAACAUUUCCAUCGCCUCAAAAAGCUCCUCUGUGCCUCAUCCCAGUCAACUCUCUGCUUUGCUUCCUGUCUCUAUAGAUUAGCCUUUUCUAGAGUUUCAUAUAAAUGGAACCAUGCAAUAAGCAUUGUUGUGUCUGGCUUCGUCCAUUCAACAUAAUGUUUUUGAGAGUCAUCCUUGUUGUUGUAUCAGUGGUUCGUUGUUUUUUGUUGCUGAAUACUCUUCUCUAGUUGGUUCAUGGAAGUUACCUGUGUCUCUUCAGGUAAGCCUUUAGCUCCUUAAGGACAGAGGCCACAUUCUUUGACACCUCUGAUACUUGGUGUCGGCCUAGGCACAUAGGAGACCUUUGGGAGUAGCAGAGUCCAUCUUCCCUGACCCAGGGCAUGGGAGUGGCCACUCUGUACCCACAUUCAACAGUCACCCUGAUACUCACAGUCUUCCCCUCCAUGCCCACAGGCUGACCUUCUUGGCCCAGGGCUCCCAAGCACAUAUACCUCCUUCAGAAUCAGUCUGAUGCCUCUCACAGCAAUGCAGAGAAGUCCUGGGCCAGCCACAGCAGUUAGGGGGCAAAGCUGGGAGAUCACAGGCAAAUCAGAUCCCUCUGACACUGGGCACAUUGAUUUCCUUAACUGCCAAACAGAGACACUGCUGUCUACCUCACAAGGCCACUAAGUGGGCACAUGUGUGUGAAAGUGCCACUUGAAGUAGAAAACACAAUACUACACAGUAAGAGUGAAUUUAAUCAUUUAAUGGAAUUAACAAUGGCCUGUGUUACCUGGGACCCCUUUUCCCUCUCAGGACCUUCAAUUUCUUUACCCAUCAGAUGAAAAGUUGAGCUAGAGUUCCCUAAGAUGCCUUCUGUCUUGAACCUUCUUGGAUUCUAAGGUGCUGGAAUAUGAGAGAAAGGGCCUGAUGAUCCAGAAUUAG
Lynx canadensis (Canada lynx) is the source of this 3068-nucleotide long non-coding RNA. RefSeq lists it as uncharacterized. The record is from RefSeq and is a predicted model, not a curated record. The transcript is spliced from 3 exons. NCBI's taxonomy places the organism in Eukaryota, Metazoa, Chordata, Mammalia, Carnivora, Felidae.